RNAcentral lists this ribosomal RNA (164 nucleotides) under Acer palmatum. RNAcentral's name for it is "5.8S ribosomal RNA". It matches the Rfam family "5.8S ribosomal RNA". From Rfam's summary of the family: 5.8S ribosomal RNA (5.8S rRNA) is a component of the large subunit of the eukaryotic ribosome. It is transcribed by RNA polymerase I as part of the 45S precursor that also contains 18S and 28S rRNA. Functionally, it is thought that 5.8S rRNA may be involved in ribosome translocation. The record is from RNAcentral. Lineage: Eukaryota; Viridiplantae; Streptophyta; Magnoliopsida; Sapindales; Sapindaceae.
AAAACGACUCUCGGCAACGGAUAUCUCGGCUCUCGCAUCGAUGAAGAACGUAGCGAAAUGCGAUACUUGGUGUGAAUUGCAAAAUCCCGUGAACCAUCGAGUCUUUGAACGCAAGUUGCGCCCCAAGCCGUUAGGCCGAGGGCACGCCUGCCUGGGUGUCACGC